GUUGUAUGGUUAAGUGACUAAGCGUACACGGUGGAUGCCUUGGCAGUUGGAGGCGAUGAAGGACGUAUUAACUUGCGAUAAGCCUAGUCAAGCUAGUAAAAAGCGCUUGAGRCUAGGAUUUCCGAAUGGGGAAACCCACCUGCUUGCAGGUAUCUUGCACUGAAUACAUAGGUGUAAGAGGCGAACGCGGAGAACUGAAACAUCUAAGUACCCGUAGGAACAGAAAUCAACCGAGAUUCCGGAAGUAGCGGCGAGCGAAACCGGACCAGCCCUUAAGCUUAUUAUGUGUUAGUGGAACAUUCUGGAAAGUUUGACGAUACAGGGUGAUAGUCCCGUACACGAAAAUGCAUYUUAAGUGAAAUCGAGUAGGUCGGAGCACGUGAAACUUUGACUGAAUAUAGGUGG
Molecule: ribosomal RNA, 405 nt
Filed under: Pseudoalteromonas lipolytica
Lineage: Bacteria; Pseudomonadati; Pseudomonadota; Gammaproteobacteria; Alteromonadales; Pseudoalteromonadaceae
Description: bacterial LSU rRNA
Rfam family: Bacterial large subunit ribosomal RNA
Source: RNAcentral